Long non-coding RNA from Capra hircus (goat), 755 nucleotides. RefSeq annotates it as chromosome 15 C11orf31 homolog. The record is from RefSeq and is a predicted model, not a curated record. The transcript is spliced from 4 exons. Lineage: Eukaryota; Metazoa; Chordata; Mammalia; Artiodactyla; Bovidae.
AGGCCCCGCCUCCAGACCACGUGUGCGCCCUGCGCCACGCUUGCCGCAGCUUAAGAGAGGUUUCGCGUCGGGAGCUGAGUUCCUGGGCUGCGGUUCGGCGCUCGGAGCCCGGCUGGUCUGUGCCCGGUGGCCGCGCCUGUGCCCUGUCCCCAGCCGGGCCCCAGGCGCCAUGGCGUCCCGCGGGAGGAAGCGGAAGGCCGAGGCGGCGCUGGCCGCUGCGGCCGAGAAGCGGGAGAAGCCGGCCGGCGGCCAGGAGGGGGAAGUGGCGGGGCCGAGCGUCGUCAUCGAGCACUGCACGAGCUGACGAGUCUACGGGCGCAACGCCGCGGCCCUGAGCCAGGCGCUGCGCCUGCAGGCCCCCGAGCUGGCGGUGAAGGUGAACCCCGCCAGGCCGCGGAGGGGCAGCUUCGAGGUGACGCUGCUGCGCGCCGACGGCAGCAGCGCGGAGCUCUGGACGGGUCUUAAGAAGGGGCCCCCACGCAAACUCAAGUUUCCGGAGCCUCACGUGGUGCUGGAGGAGCUGAAGAAGUACCUUUCGUAGGGAGGUGGGGCAGAAGGCGUCUCGCUGAGCCUCUGUCCCUGGUGAUACUGGAGCAUUUAUGACGGGACGUGGCCAAACUUCAGUCAUGUCCCCGAAGCUGUGGUUUCCUCCCCUCCAGAAACGAUGGUUCAGUUGUGAGGCAGUCCUCUAGUAAGACAUUGAAAAGUUCUUGGAUUUGGUUUAAUAAAAAUUAAAGGAUCUGAGUUGACAUAAA